This 3070-nucleotide long non-coding RNA is filed under the name Homo sapiens (human). RNAcentral's name for it is "HSALNT0145324". The record is from RNAcentral. Lineage: Eukaryota; Metazoa; Chordata; Mammalia; Primates; Hominidae.
CUCAAGGACUGGGACACCUGUCCCUCCUCCUCCACCCACGCUGCGGGGAACUGCAUGGCUCCUCCGGGCGGGGACCAUAGCUUUCCGCCUCAACGUACCUGGGGCUCGGCAUGCUGCGUUGAAUUUUGGAGUGGAUGAGGAGUGAGGGUGUGGCAGGGCGGCUGGAGCUGCCCAACUGCUGAAACUGCUGCAGGUGCCACAGCGGCUGGCUCCCUGAAAGCGUCCUCCUGCCUCUGAGACCGUAGCGCAGGAGGGUGCGAGUGCACCUCCGCAAGGCCUGACGCUGCUGAUCCACUUCCUCUCCCCACGAUGGGGACACACUUGGCGACAGUUCCAUCUGGGGAAGAGACCCAGCCGGAACCCAGGGAAGAGCAGGCUGUGAAAACUGGGCAGAAACUUGCGGCGACUCGGAAGACACUGCCAGGAAACCCUCCCCGGGCCUCCUGUGGGGCUUGUAGCAGCCGCAGGGGUUGGCUCUCACCUUCUAGUCCCAGCCAGGUUGUCUUGGAGUCAGCUAAUGGGCAAGGCCCCUACCUCUCUUAGGAUCUGAGGAUGGGAGGGGCUGCGUUUUUCCAGAGGAUCUGCACGUGUGCAGGCUGAGUGUUGAGACUUGAUUGGUGUCAACUGGCACUGCCUGCCCAUGAUGCACAAAAGCUACUGUAAGAAACAGGGUCCAUGUCUCCAGGGAGCAGGACCCCGUUCUGAGGCCACAACCCCGAGGGCAGUCUCCGCCUGCAGAGUCCUCCCUCUCGCACCGGCUCACCUCGUGGUGAAUCCCUUGGCUACGGUUUGGUGUGAGAAAAGAGAUGGGUGUUUCACUCCCUGCUGCAUCCCUGGUGACGGCCCUGGCAUUUCGGGGCAUGAGAUCUUUGCUUAAAGGUUUUGCGGUGGUCACUGCACAGGGGGUGGGGGUGGGGUCCCUUGGUGCAAUUUAUCCGAUUCUGCUGCGUGGAUGACAUCCACAGUGUUCCUCUCCAGUGGGGAUUAUCUGAGACCUUUCCGCAUGCCCGCACCCACAGUCCGCUCCCUCACGGCAGCAUGAACUCAGGAGGCGGGCGUUCCCACAGUCAUUACAUUUGCAGGGCCUCUCUAUGUCCACUCUGAUGCCUGAGGACCAGCGCUUCCACGAAGGUGUGGCCACGUCCAGUGCUGCUCAUUGGCUUCUCUCCUGCGGGAAUGUUCUGAUCCCGAACGGAGCCUGAGCAUGCGCGAAACCCUUCCCACGUUCACAAGGUGCUUCUCCAGUGUUCCAUUACAUCUCACCUAUGCACACUACAUGCAUACGGUUUCCACCGGCUGUGCGUGUCCCUAGAAGUCACAUUCACGGCGUUUCUCCCUGGGAGGAAUUCUCCCGUGCAUGGCUGCUCUGAGACCAUUUGCACCUGCGGCCACGCGUGGGCUCCUCGAGGCUUACAAACCAGGCUGGACUCCUGAAGCCCUAGCUGCACUUGGCACUCGGCGAGGUUUUUCUACAAAAUCUCAUCUCAGCCAUCUGAGUCCUUCACCAUUUAUCUUAUGAAUCCGCUCGAACGUACAAGGAAGGCCUCUCUGCCCUCCUGCUCCAGGGAGGAGGUUUUGACCCUCAGCUCCACCUCUGCGGCUGGCCCGGUCUCCGCAAACCUUUUUCUGCUUGGCCAGCUGGUGCCAUGCUAGGCUUUCCCACUAGGGGCGCCAGAGAAAGCGCGCGAGGCUGCGGAGGAGAGAGGGGCACACUCUUUCCGGUUUGCUUCCGGUUUUUUCCUCAGGCUUCCGGUCUGUUUGGUGCCCUGGUCGCGUGUCUUCCGAACUCUGCUGCUUCGCCCCGGCAAGAGCACUUCCUUCCGCGGCUGCUAAAACUGGUGCGCGGGUUCCCAACUUCGCAGAAGAGCUUCAUCGGCCCCCCGCUAGAGACCUCAGACCGCAGCCAUCGACGCCUCGCCUCGGGGAUCUGUCCCCACCCUCGGGGCCAGCCCUAGCGUAGCAGGUGCUCCCUGCAGUUUUUGCUUCUGAGAUAGAGUUCUCUUUUCAGCUCCUUCGGUAGUCACUUCGUACAUAGUGAUUCAUGAUGCGAAAUCCUCUCUGUUGAAAUAACUGACGAGGCCUCUGUCUUCUGACUGGACCCUGACUUCCAUGCCCUUUCCACUCUCACUCCAGUACAUGCCCAAACCCCAAUCUUUGUUGCUCCAGGCAUUGCCUCUGUGGCGCUGUGUCCCCUCCUUUGAACUCUGAUCCUUCUGCUCAGGCCCUUUCUCCCAGUCUGAACUCACCAUGAGUCAGGCCCUGUGCUAGGUGCUGGGAUGAAGCAGUGACUGACACAGGCCUGGACCUGUCCUUGGGAAGAGUGCGUCUGUGACACAGAUACUGUGCCAUGUGGCAAAGUAAGCGCGUGGGACAGCAGAGCCUUGUUUGCCAUUAAAGUAAUAUCACAAGUCUGUUAAGGUUGGAGAAUCAAGUGAACAUGCUGAAAAGUUAUGGGGAAUGUAGUCUCAUAGCUGGGGGAGCUGGGGGCCUUGUCAAUUGGUUCCCCCAGUCUGGAGAGCAAUCUGAGAGUAAGUAGUGACACUGUGUGUGCUGAGUGUGUCUGUGGGGGUGUUUUUGACUUGAAUGGAGACAUCAGCUCUUUGUGGGUCUCAAGUCUACUGGCUUUCAAUCAGCUCUUCUGCUUGACAGCUGCAGGUCUUGGGACUGCCCAGCCCCCAUAACCCUGUGAGUGCAUUCCUGAUAAUAACCCUCUUUCUCUUGUCCUCCCCCACCCCACAUCAUUGGUUCUGUUUCUCUGGAGAACCAUAAUACAUCAUUUACUAAUCAGGAAAUAGAUUCAGAGACAUUAAUAACUCAUCCAACCUCACAGUUAACUGUAGAGUUGGGCUUGAAAUUCCAAGGUCGAUUUUCUUAGCCAAUACACCAUGCUACAUAUAUGUAUGUAAAAAUAAAAACGCUUGUGAACUGAAAAGGGUCCAAACUUAAGCUCAUUUUGGUCCUUAAUUGCUAAUCCAUAGGCAUGUUUUGGUCCUUAAUUGCUAAUCCAUAAGCAUGUUUCGGUCCUUAUUUGCUAAUCCAUAGGCCUGCACACCUGCCCCCAAGGCCAUGG